CACGCCAUAAACGAUGUCAACUAGUUGUUGGGUUCCUUGAGGACUUAGUAACGCAGCUAACGCAUUAAGUUGACCGCCUGGGGAGUACGGCCGCAAGGUUAAAACUCAAAUGAAUUGACGGGGGCCCGCACAAGCGGUGGAGCAUGUGGUUUAAUUCGAAGCAACGCGAAGAACCUUACCUGGUCUUGACAUGUAGCGAACUCUCUAGAGAUAGAGAGGUGCCUUCGGGAACGCUAACACAGGUGC
This 246-nucleotide ribosomal RNA is filed under the name uncultured Pseudomonas sp. RNAcentral describes it as "partial 16S ribosomal RNA". It matches the Rfam family "Bacterial small subunit ribosomal RNA", at positions 796 to 1041 of the family's 1533-position model. Lineage: Bacteria; Pseudomonadati; Pseudomonadota; Gammaproteobacteria; Pseudomonadales; Pseudomonadaceae. The record is from RNAcentral.